This 590-nucleotide ribosomal RNA is filed under the name uncultured bacterium. RNAcentral describes it as "partial 16S ribosomal RNA". It matches the Rfam family "Bacterial small subunit ribosomal RNA", at positions 355 to 938 of the family's 1533-position model. The record is from RNAcentral.
UGGGGAAUUUUGGACAAUGGGCGAAAGCCUGAUCCAGCAAUGCCGCGUGUGUGAAGAAGGCCUUCGGGUUGUAAAGCACUUUUGUCCGGAAAGAAAUCCUUGGCUCUAAUACAGUCGGGGGAUGACGGUACCGGAAGAAUAAGCACCGGCUAACUACGUGCCAGCAGCCGCGGUAAUACGUAGGGUGCAAGCGUUAAUCGGAAUUACUGGGCGUAAAGCGUGCGCAGGCGGUUUGCUAAGACCGAUGUGAAAUCCCCGGGCUCAACCUGGGAACUGCAUUGGUGACUGGCAGGCUAGAGUAUGGCAGAGGGGGGUAGAAUUCCACGUGUAGCAGUGAAAUGCGUAGAGAUGUGGAGGAAUACCGAUGGCGAAGGCAGCCCCCUGGGCCAAAUACUGACGCUCAUGCACGAAAAGCGUGGGGAGCAAACAGGAUUAGAUACCCUGGUAGUCCACGCCCUAAAACGAUGUCAACUAGUUGUUGGGGAUUCAUUUCCUUAGUAACGUAGCUAACGCGUGAAGUUGACCGCCUGGGGAGUACGGUCGCAAAGAUUAAAACUCAAAGGAAUUGAACGGGGUCAUAGCUGUUUCCU